This 122-nucleotide ribosomal RNA is filed under the name Triticum aestivum (bread wheat). The record is from RNAcentral. Lineage: Eukaryota; Viridiplantae; Streptophyta; Magnoliopsida; Poales; Poaceae. RNAcentral also lists the same sequence under 2 other names.
AGAUGUGAUCAUACCAGCACUAAAGCACCAGAUUCCAUUAGAACUCUGAAGUUAAGUUUUCUUGGGCGAGAGUAGUAUUAGGAUGGGUGACCUCCUGGGAGGUCCUCAUGUUGUUGCAUUUU